This is an RNA transcript of Oncorhynchus keta (chum salmon), 4388 nucleotides long. It is a transcript of the gene named guanine monophosphate synthase, with no coding region annotated. The record is from RefSeq and is a predicted model, not a curated record. NCBI's taxonomy places the organism in Eukaryota, Metazoa, Chordata, Actinopteri, Salmoniformes, Salmonidae. The transcript is spliced from 16 exons.
UAGAUAAUUAGACAUAGGGCGAAUUAUUCCCCUUGUAAACUGCAGCAGCUUUUCCAUAAUACAACUUUUCCAGUGAAUUAUCCAGGAGUAACUCCUCCCUAGAAGCCCUUAUUCCCACGCAGACAGUCACUAGUACUCCCUACUCUUCAAGAGGGGAGGGGACAGUCUUUGAGCGAAGUGGUCGGACAGCGCACGGUCAUAGAAAGCCAUCCAGCCAGUGACUAUUGUAGCUACGGAAGCGCUAGUUAGCACACAUUUUCGUCAGCGGUCGGCGCAACAACUCAGCGAGCAACCACUAGUCUCUCUCUCUCUCUGUUGCGUGCUAUCUGGAAGACCGAGGAGGACAGUUCAUUCUGCUACACUCAUCCAUGGCUCUGUGCAACGGAGAUACCAAGCUGGACAUCAGCAGCAUUGAGCCUCAGAAUGGUUCAUGUGAGGGGGCAGUGGUCAUCCUGGACGCUGGGGCUCAGUACGGAAAGGUGAUUGACAGGCGGGUCAGAGAGCUGUUUGUCCGCUCAGAGAUCCUCCCACUAGAGACGCCAGCCUUCGCCAUCAGAGAACAAGGCUUCAGGGCGAUCAUCAUUUCUGGUGGGCCUAAUUCUGUGUAUGCUGAGGAUGCCCCCUGGUUUGACCCUGCCAUAUUCACCAUUGGAAAGCCUGUCCUGGGUAUCUGCUAUGGAAUGCAGAUGAUGAAUAAGGUUUUUGGAGGAACUGUACACAGGAAGAGUGUGAGAGAGGAUGGGGUGUUCAACAUCGGACUGGACAACACCUGUUCUCUCUUCAGGGGCCUUAAGAAGGAGGAGCUGGUGCUGUUGACUCAUGGGGACAGUGUGGACAAGGUGGCCGACGACUUCAAGGUGGUGGCCCAGUCAGGGAGCAUCAUUGCGGGUAUUGCCAACGAGCAGAAGAAGCUGUAUGGGACCCAGUUUCACCCGGAAGUGGACCUGACGGAGCGGGGAACAGAGAUAUUACGUAACUUCCUGUUUGAGAUCGCCGGCUGCACAUCCAACUUCACUGUCCAGAACCGCCAGCAGUCCUGCAUCACAGAGAUUCAGGAGAAAGUUGGAAAGUCCAAAGUACUGGUUCUGCUGAGUGGUGGGGUGGACUCCACGGUGUGUACGGCACUGCUCAACAAAGCUCUGAACCAGGAGCAGGUCAUCGCGGUGCACAUCGACAAUGGCUUUAUGAGGAAGAGGGAGAGCCAGAGCGUUGAGGAGGCCCUCACCAAACUGGGCAUCAACCUCAAAGUGGUGAACGCAGCACACACCUUCUAUAAUGGCACAACGACCCUGCCCAUAUCCGACGAGGACCGGACGCCACGGAAACGCAUCAGCAAGACCCUCAACAUGACGACCAACCCUGAGGAGAAGAGGAAGAUCAUCGGAGACACCUUCGUCAAGGUGGCCAAUGAGGUGAUAGGGGAGAUGAACCUGAAGCCGGAGGAGGUGUUCCUAGCCCAGGGCACCCUGAGGCCAGACCUCAUAGAGAGUGCUUCUCACCUCGCCAGCGGCAAGGCAGAGGUCAUCAAAACACACCACAACGACACAGAACUCAUCCGCAAGCUCAGAGACGAGGGAAAAGUCAUUGAGCCGCUGAAGGACUUCCAUAAGGAUGAGGUUCGGGCACUGGGCAGAGAACUGGGACUGCCAGAGGACAUCGUCUGUCGACACCCUUUCCCUGGUCCUGGACUGGCCAUCAGAGUGAUCUGUGCAGACGAGCCCUACAUCUGUAAGGACUUUGCUGAGACCAACAACAUCCUCAAGAUCAUCACAGACUUCUCUGCCAUGGUCAAAAAGCCCCACACGUUGCUGCAGAGAGUGAAGUCGUGUAUAUCAGACGAGGAGGAGGAGAAACUCCUGCAGAUCACCAGUCUACAUUCACUCAAUGCCUUCCUGCUGCCAAUCAAGACUGUGGGAGUCCAGGGAGACUGUCGGUCCUAUAGCUAUGUGUGUGGGGUCACCAGUAAAGAGGCUCCACACUGGGAAUCCCUCAUGUUCCUGGCCAGACUCAUCCCUCGCAUGUGUCACGCCAUCAACAGAGUGGUGUAUGUAUUUGGGUCCCACGUGAAGGAGCCCCCUACAGACGUCACCCCCACCUUCCUGACCACGGGCGUUCUCAGCACACUCAGACAGGCGGACUUUGUGGCCCACUCCAUCCUCAGAGAGUCUGGUUACUCUGGGAAGAUCAGUCAGAUGCUGGUCAUCCUGACCCCUCUGUACCCUCUUUCUCCCAGGUUACUCUGGGAAGAUCAGUCAGAUGCCGGUCAUCCUGACCCCUCUGCACUUUGACCGUGAUUCCUCACAGAGGCAGCCGUCCUGCCGACGCUCUGUGGUCGUAAGAACGUUCAUCACCAGUGACUUCAUGACCGGGAUACCUGCCACGCCCGGAAACCACAUCCCCGAGGAGGUGGUGCUGAAGAUGGUAAAUGAGAUCAAGAAGAUCCCUGGCAUCUCCCGCGUGAUGUUUGACCUGACCUCCAAACCUCCUGGCACCACAGAGUGGGAGUAGAGCUCAUGGAGAGAGAAGAGAGGAGAUGUGAGCUCCUCUCUUCCUCUUCUCCUCUUUUCUUUCCCUCUCCUAACACCUAUCCCCCCCAUCUCACCUCUCCUUUCAGAUCACCCCCCCUCUCUAGAACAUUCCCAUGGAAAGCAGGCAGUACUGUGACCAGCACACACCUGAAGCCGCUACUCUGCCCCCCGCUCAGUUUUUGGGAGGUGUGUUUGUAUUAUUGUUAUUAUAGAUAUGAUGACUAUUCAUUCUUAUUUUUGGAUCAGUUUCUUCAUGCGUGACAAUGCAUUAUGUUUUUCCUUCUUUGGCAUAAGUGCUGCUUCCUGUUUUUGGAAACAGCCAGUUGAGAUUCAAAGGUUAAGAGAGUGAGAGUUCAGGAAGUGGAUUGUGUAAACAGCGUGCCUCAGAUUGCAGCGUGAGACCAACGACAGAAGAAAGAGAGGAAACAGCAUACUUGUAUGACACAGGUUGAAGGAAGAGCAGCAACUUGCCCGUGGCUUAAAGUCUUCCAUCGCAUUUUGGCUUUUUAUGUUCCACUUCCGAUGAGUCUUUUUGUCCCAAGAUGAUUUUUACUCAACCAUUUCCGUUCCAACUGUAUACUGUGCAAAGAGACACAGUGGCUGCCUGUCUCAAAGUCAUUUAGCAGAGAAACUGUGACCAAUAUCACUUUUUUUUUUAAACUUUUUUUUAAAACUUUUUUUUUUUGUUGCCAAAUGUAGAUUAAGCUGUGGUGAAAUUAGAUUUGGGUUUUUGUUGACGGUCCACUUAAAUGAAAAAAUGUGAUGUUAAACUACCAACAGCGGCCAAAGGAAAACUAUUAGUUAAUUUUCAGAGAUUGGUAACUGUUUGGGAAGCCCCCAAAUUGACGGGGUGUCCUUUUCUGUGCCUGUUUUUUUUUUUUUUUUCUCUUCCCCUUUGUUUGACACGCCCCCUGCCUGGUGAGAACUGUUACUUCAUGCUGCAAUAUAUGCUAUUUAAGAGAAACAAGAUGACAAAAGGACUGAGAGUUAAUUAAAAUGUUACUAUAGUCAAAACAACAAUUGUUGUGAACACCUUUGUCGUUAUCGUGAUCAUGCUGGCACGUGGCACCUCCUACAGUUGUGUAGGAGCAACUUUUGCACAUAAAGCCUUGGUGCUUUCCUAACGCGUUUGGGAAGUUCUAGUACUUACAGCUGAUGGAUUUUAAAACCCAAUCACGAAAGCAUCCCCCCCCCUUUUUUUUUUAUAGGGUCAAAUUGAAAACUGGCAGUGGCCAUCGUGACUAGAGGACUCCUGAGUAGGCAUUGCCAGUAAUCUGGCUCUCAGUUCAGUUUUCAACACUGAUGUUUUCAACUCUGAUUUACUGAGUCCUCAGUUAGACCAGGACUAACUGUUUUACUGGACCUGAAGCAUGUCUUUUUAAUAAGGACCCCUGUCUGCCCCAUGUCCAGCCUGUAGGUCAUGUUUUACUGUGCGAUAAUACUGAUUUACAUGCCUCUGUGUUUGACUUUGUACCCCUCACCUUCAAUAUUAUUUUGUUAUGACAGCUGAAUACCCAAUGCAAAAUGAAUCUGUUCCUUAACGGUCUUAAUUGCAACUUGUCGUUAGCGUCUCUCCCUUUGUGUUGCCUUUAAUUGUGUAUUUUAUGAUGCAUAUGUCUACUUGGAAAACAAAAAUCGCUUAAUUAAUGGAUGUUUAAUUUUUGUAGUUGGAUUUUACUGCAAUAUUGAAAUAAGAUUAAUUUAUGCAAUUCUGUGUUUGAUAUUCUUUUUUUGUUUGUUUAGUUUAAAACAGCUCGUUCUUCCUUGGUAACAUUCCUCAAACCAAGUCCCUGCAUGCAGUUUCAACUAUGAAAUGUGUAUAAUGGAAAACCAAGCUUUAGUAAAGAAGUCUCAGUUGAA